UACGGAGGGGGCGAGCGUUGUUCGGAAUCAUUGGGCGUAAAGGGCGCGUAGGUGGUUCUGUAUGUCUACCGUGAAAGCGUACGGCUCAACCGUAUUUUGUCGGUAGAAACUGCAGGACUUGAGGCUGGGAGGGGCUGGCGGAAUUCCCUGUGUAGCGGUGAAAUGCGUAGAGAUGGGGGAGAACACUCGUGGCGAAGGCGGCCAGCUAGACCAGUUCUGACACUGAGGCGCGACAGCGUGGGGAGCAAACAGG
This 253-nucleotide ribosomal RNA is filed under the name uncultured bacterium. RNAcentral's name for it is "partial 16S ribosomal RNA". It matches the Rfam family "Bacterial small subunit ribosomal RNA", at positions 524 to 776 of the family's 1533-position model. The record is from RNAcentral.